GGGUGCUAUCAUCUCUCUGGGGCUUCUGAAUGUUUUCCUGCUGAUUGGACUCAUCAGCCUUGGUGUUUUCUUUCAUGAUGCAGGCAGCUUGGCAGCAGAUCUCACCGACACCAAAGACAAUCAGAUUGAUCGUCUGCAGGACACCAAUAACCAGCUUUCUGCAAUGAUUGAAGAAAGAGACCGUCUGAAUGCAACCCUCACAGAAAUGUCUAACGAGAUGAUCAGGCUUCAGAGUUUGUUGAAGAAAAAGAAAACCUGUCCUGCAGGAUGGAUGAUGUUCAACUCUUCUUGUUAUUUC
This is a long non-coding RNA of Xiphophorus maculatus (southern platyfish), 298 nucleotides long. RefSeq lists it as uncharacterized. The record is from RefSeq and is a predicted model, not a curated record. Lineage: Eukaryota; Metazoa; Chordata; Actinopteri; Cyprinodontiformes; Poeciliidae. The transcript has 3 exons.